CCCGGUCCGCUUAACAACAAGGGGGCUCCUCACCCUCCAGUGGCACCAAAAGGUAGAAUUGCAACAUCAGUGGCUGCACGUGAUGGAAAUGACGACACGCUCGUUUCGACAUCCACUUUCAUCCACGCAAAACGCAAGCCGGGCUUCUGAUGAUCUUCUGAAUCACUUUCUUCACCCAGGGAGCCUCUGGGUCCAGGCAAACCUCUUGGCCUGUCUUCUUCAGAGUGGCACUGCAUCACCAAGCAAGAAACAGAGAGGCAGUCAGAAUAUGUUGAUGAAGCCAACAAGUGACAAUAACAAAUCUCUUCACAGUGGGAGUUGGCAGGAAUCAGCUCCACCUUGGCAAUGUGGCGGCCAAUGGGUUUGCUCUCUGUCUGGAUGCAGCGGCAAUGGAGCUCUACACCCAGGCUCCUCAAACUCAUCCCUGUUAGGAGAAAGGAGUCACAUGUGGUCACAAAGUGCAACAGUGUGUGUUGUUAACUCUUGAUGCACUGAGGAAACGAGGACAGCAGAAUGUGUGCAGUAGUGGCAGUUUAAAUGCUCAAUACUGUUACAUUAAAUUAUUGAAUGACAAAAUAAUUUUACCUUCACUGAUGGCCAGGAAGGCCAGGAGCACCACGAUAGAGGUGACAAUGACUUUGCUGCUCUUCAUGUUGACUUUUACAAAUUCUGCAAUAAUUAAAACUAAAGGCUAAGAAUGUCCUUCAGAAAGCUAUCCGAUUAAGCCUGAAGUACUGUAUGAAAGUAAAGAAAGUGGGUUUUUUUCUCGUUCUUCUUUUGCUCAAUUGCGUCUCUCCUCUACUUUUCCUUUUCUUGGUUCAGCUGCUGUGUUGCUCUGCUGUUUGAAUCUAGCGCUGAAGAGGAGAGUUUCAGCUUUAUAGCUCCUGGAAAUGAGUCACUUCCCUAGAUCAGGAGUGUUGCGCAAGCUGGGACUGUCAGCAGCCAAGUGGGAAUUUACACUGUAAGGAAUUUGACUGACAUAUCUAAUUUAUCAAGAGAACUCAUGGGUCAACAUGUGUCACUGGAACAGGGGAGAUUCAGUUGGGGAAAACGCAGCGACUAAACAUCUGCAAUAAAUCCGUUCAUGUGA
This is a long non-coding RNA of Micropterus dolomieu (smallmouth bass), 1090 nucleotides long. RefSeq lists it as uncharacterized. Lineage: Eukaryota; Metazoa; Chordata; Actinopteri; Centrarchiformes; Centrarchidae. The transcript is spliced from 3 exons. The record is from RefSeq and is a predicted model, not a curated record.